AGUGAACGCUGGCGGCAGGCUUAACACAUGCAAGUCGAGCGAGCGGCGGACGGGAGAGUAAUGUCUGGGAAUCUGCCUGAUGGAGGGGGAUAACUACUGGAAACGGUAUCUAAUACCGCAUACCAUCAGAUGCGCCCAGAUGGGUUUAGCUAGUAGGUGGGGUAAUGGCUCACCUAGGCGACGAUCCCUAGCUGGUCUGAGAGGAUGACCAGCCACACUGGAACUGAGACACGGUCCAGACUCCUACGGGAGGCAGCAGUGGGGAAGAUUGCACAAUGGGCGCAAGCCUGAUGCAGCCAUGCCGCGUGUGUGAAGAAGGCCUUCGGGUUGUAAAGCACUUUCAGCGAGGAGGCGUUACUCGCAGAAGAAGCACCGGCUAACUCCGUGCCAGCAGCCGCGGUAAUUC
This 406-nucleotide ribosomal RNA is filed under the name uncultured bacterium. Its description in RNAcentral is "partial 16S ribosomal RNA". It matches the Rfam family "Bacterial small subunit ribosomal RNA", at positions 29 to 526 of the family's 1533-position model. The record is from RNAcentral.